UUUGGGGUCUUAAUAUGCCAGGUGGAAAAACAGUGCCAAGGCCCUUGAUUUAGCAAGAUAUCAUCCACAUUCACUAUCUAUUUCUAAGUUAUUGAGUAAUUUCCAUGGGUCCUUUAGAAGUUGUGAAGUGUAGGAAAUUCUUGUAGACCUGCAAAAAAUCCAAGAAUUUAGCUUAGAAAGACUGGUUUGCUCCCGUUCAAGAUUGUAACUGGGUUGCUGAUCUUUCCUAGGGUCUUGUUCAUUUUGGAGUGGAUAUAAAGGACAUUGAUUUGAUUACCAACUGUCUGCUGCUGCCAAGAGCACCAUCUCUCCAGAGGCCCUGGGCUGCACACUGAGGCCUGCACACUGCGGGGCCUGCACACAUGAGGGUGCAGCUUAUCUGUCUGUCACGCACUGGGAAUUACGGAGAAGACACAUUGAAGUGCUUUGGAAAGAAUGGGUGCUGUACUCAGGGAAGAGCAUGGUUUGCCUGUGGCAUAAAAUCUCUAGGUUUGGAAGUUUUAUUCCCUUAGUAAGUCUUUCCUAUACUGUGCUGCCCUGUGGACUGGAGUGCUCCUGUAAUGCAUAGAGCUGAUACCAUUUGUCGGGGCUACUUAGUGAAGAGAUUUUCAAGAUUUCUGGGUGGAGGCUGAGCCUGCUAAUCGGGAACACACGUGUUCAAGCCACACCUGUCCCUGUAUGUAGGCAGCACAGCCUCAGGGCCCGCCAGUUUUCCAUGCCGAGCUUUUGUGAUGUUCAAAGUCAGCGUUGAGGCCCCUGCACUCGAUGCAAACAUGUUUAUUUUAUUUUUUCCUUUUCCUGGGAGCCAGACUCUGCCAUUCAUCGCACAAAUUUAUUUCUAAGGACACGUUCCUAGUGUGACAUUUAAAACGGAUCCCGUUUGGGGUUGAUAAUCUUCAGUCAGGCUGGGUACGGUCCUGUGCAGUGGAAUCACUUGGGGUAGCAGCUCACGGCAUUGUGCCUGUGAGAGCCAGAGGCCUUAGGGGUCAGCCAGUCUCAUUUGGCAGAAAAGCUAACGCAGGUCAGAGAGCUGCUGCAUAGACCAGAGCUGGGCUGAGGCGGGGCAAUACCUCCCCACCCUCUGCCGUCUGAUUUCAUCGGAGAUGUUUGCCCACGUUUGGUGGGGGGCACCGAAAAGAGAGAAGAUGUAGCAACUUGUGGUCGUGUCAGAAAGAUGAGCGGCAGGAGCGUGUCCCAGCUGGGGAGUGAGCAUUCUACCGCUGUGGGAAGCACGGGACAGCCAGACUUCCCACAUGAUGACGGUUCAAGGUUCCUAAAGGCAUGUGAUCCAAGAGCCAAGAAGCAGCACUGCUGAGCCUCUUAAAGGUUAGGCUGGAAUGUCUACCACAUUUCCCCUGGUUGAUAGGAGUCACGGGCCAGCCCAGGUUCAGUGUGGGAGGGGAUUCUGCAAGGCAGGAAUAUUCGGAAGUGUAGUUCAUUGUGGGAGUGUAGUCAUCUUUGCAGACUAGCUAGUCUGUUAAUAUGUAAACGCACAUAAAAUGUGGAAUGGGCUGUAACAAUAUUUUAUUUUCAAGGUUAACACCAUAAUCAUCAUAAUCAUAUAAUGUUUUCUGGGGAUCAUAUUACACCUAUUGCCCUUUAACCACUUUUCUUUCAUUGAACAAUAUAUCAUAAAUAUUUCCUCAAGUAAUUCAAUAUUCUUCUACAAAGUACUUUAAAAUGUAUUAACUAUACAGUAGAGUACACAGAUUUUAAUUUGUAUAGCUCAGUGCAUUUUUACAUAUGUGUUCACCUGUGUAGUGUUCCCCUGUGUUGCAUCCACCUAUGUCCACAUACUUCCUAUGUCAAUUAUAGAACAUUUCCAGGACUUCCUUUGUGCCAUGCCCCAAUCCAUACCAGUCUCUCCUUCUCUCACUGAGGUAACCACUGCCUUGACUUCUAACACUAUUAAUUAGUUUUGCCUGCUUUUUAACUUCAUAUAAAUGGAUCAUAUAAUACAGACUCCUUUGAGCCUGGGUCCUUUUGCUCAUCAAAAGUCUGUUAGAUUGACCCAUAGUGUUGCUUGAAACUAUAGUUCAUUAUCUUUAUGGUAGUAUUCUAUUGUAUGAGCAAACC
This is a long non-coding RNA of Myotis davidii, 2076 nucleotides long. RefSeq lists it as uncharacterized. The transcript is spliced from 2 exons. NCBI's taxonomy places the organism in Eukaryota, Metazoa, Chordata, Mammalia, Chiroptera, Vespertilionidae. The record is from RefSeq and is a predicted model, not a curated record.